RNAcentral lists this ribosomal RNA (253 nucleotides) under uncultured bacterium. Its description in RNAcentral is "partial 16S ribosomal RNA". It matches the Rfam family "Bacterial small subunit ribosomal RNA", at positions 524 to 776 of the family's 1533-position model. The record is from RNAcentral.
UACGUAGGGUGCAAGCGUUGUCCGGAAUUAUUGGGCGUAAAGAGCUCGUAGGCGGCUUGUCGCGUCGGCUGUGAAAUCCCGGGGCUCAACCCCGGGUCUGCAGUCGAUACGGGCAGGCUAGAGUCCGGUAGGGGAGACUGGAAUUCCUGGUGUAGCGGUGAAAUGCGCAGAUAUCAGGAGGAACACCGGUGGCGAAGGCGGGUCUCUGGGCCGGAACUGACGCUAAGGAGCGAAAGCGUGGGGAGCGAACAGG